GCGGUUACCAUCAUCUUCUACAUAUAUAACUCCCCCUUGAGUGGUUGUUCUCACAGAUGACCACUCUAUGUCUUGAUAAUUUUAUUUAAGAAAUUAAUUUUAGUAGCAGGCUAUCCUUAUGUGACCUCUUGUCCGAACAACAAGAGACUUUCAAGUGACACGAUAGACACAACUUGGCAAAUAUCGAUGGGCCUAAUUUUUUUUUGAUCAUUUAUUAUAGUCGUUCAUCAUGGAAUAGUUUUGUGGGUAUAAAAAGAUACCUCUUAAUGUGGGCUUAGAACUCUAAUAAAUUAACUUGGAGAUCGAAGAAGAACUGA
This 317-nucleotide long non-coding RNA is filed under the name Elaeis guineensis (African oil palm). RNAcentral describes it as "long non-coding RNA (EGUI_LNC071082)". The record is from RNAcentral. Lineage: Eukaryota; Viridiplantae; Streptophyta; Magnoliopsida; Arecales; Arecaceae.